AGUAGUAUAGCUGGGUCACAUGGUUGUUUCAUUCCAAGUUUUCCGAGAAAUCUCCAUACUGCUUUCUAGAAUGGUUGCAUCAAUUUGCAGUCCCACCAGCAGU
RNAcentral lists this microRNA precursor (103 nucleotides) under Marmota monax (woodchuck). The record is from RNAcentral. Lineage: Eukaryota; Metazoa; Chordata; Mammalia; Rodentia; Sciuridae.